GUCCAACCUGUAACUCCAAUUGGAAGGGUGUCAAUACCAUGCCACGGGUAAGGACAAGUGCCGAGUCACCCUCAUCUGGAGGUACUCUGAAUGAGAAUGGCGGUACCCUCAACUGGCAAGUAGAUCACCUCAUCAACCCUCAACUGGCUUGUUGAUAUCUCAACCUACGAUGGCUACAUAGUUCUGGAAUGCAAGGAUUGCUUCAAAGGAUUACACCCUCUACUGGCAGGUGAGUCCCCAUCCUCG
RNAcentral lists this long non-coding RNA (246 nucleotides) under Capsicum annuum. RNAcentral describes it as "long non-coding RNA (CANN_LNC021128)". Lineage: Eukaryota; Viridiplantae; Streptophyta; Magnoliopsida; Solanales; Solanaceae. The record is from RNAcentral.